This 79-nucleotide transfer RNA is filed under the name Candidatus Omnitrophota bacterium. Its description in RNAcentral is "tRNA-Pro". It matches the Rfam family "tRNA". From Rfam's summary of the family: Transfer RNA (tRNA) molecules are approximately 80 nucleotides in length. Their secondary structure includes four short double-helical elements and three loops (D, anti-codon, and T loops). The record is from RNAcentral. Lineage: Bacteria; Pseudomonadati; Candidatus Omnitrophota.
CGGGGCGUAGCGCAGUUUGGCUUAGCGCACUUGAAUGGGGUUCAAGAGGCCGCUGGUUCGAGUCCAGUCGCCCCGACCA